Macaca fascicularis (crab-eating macaque) is the source of this 1729-nucleotide long non-coding RNA. The record is from Ensembl. NCBI's taxonomy places the organism in Eukaryota, Metazoa, Chordata, Mammalia, Primates, Cercopithecidae.
AGGAGACUGAGGCAGAAGAAAGGAGUGAAGCUGGGAGGCAGAGUUUGCAGUGAGCCGAGAUCACGCCACUGCACUCCAGCCUGGGUGACAGAGCGAGACUCCGUCUCAAAAAAAAAUGAAAAAAAAAAAUUAAAAAUGUGUCCUCAUAUUUUGGCCUUUGAGACAAAGCCUCUUAUUUAAUCGAGUUCUGACUGAAUUUGACUCACAGUACUCUGGCAGAUUCUUCAUUUUCUGGUGAGAUAGAUGAAUGUCGCAGGGUGAGGGCAAUGCCAGCCCUUUCAAGGUCAGCUUUUUGAGGAGUGAUGUCUGGCAGAACACAACCCAACACCAUAGUAGGAUCCCCCACCCAGCCACUUAGACACUUUCUGGUACUUACUCUGUCUGCUUUUUUCCCUUUCUUGAAUUCACCUUGGGGGGGGGGGGACAAAAAAUUCAAAACCAAAAACAAACAGCCCGUGUGUUUUUGUGUCUGAAAAGUUAAUACAUCCACAUCCAACUUUCUAAAUGAGACACGGCAGGUAUGAUGGUCACCGAACAGUGGCCACUGUUGACAAAAUGCAAAGUCUUCUGCAAACAUGAACGAGUUUCUAGGAAUACAAAGUCAAGGGAAUUUACUUCACAUACUAAAGCUGUCAAGGGUGCUCAUCAAAAAUGUACUUAGAGGUUUUCCUUUAAAGUUAUUUUUGAAGAUUUUUAAGUUGCAAUACUUAAAAGCCUCUGGGAAAAGAAAGGAUACAGGUAUCUGGAAGAUUUAUACUAAAUGAUUUUCUUGUCUUUUUCAUAAAGUUAAAUAAGAUCAGCCUUGAAGUAAUGGGUUCCACUACUCUGAGGCUAUGGAUGGAAUCCACACCACCACCAGACAAUUGAAUAAACAGCAAGGCUGCACACACAGGACGCAGGCAGUGAGCCAGCCUGACUAGUUGUCAGCUUCUGGGUCAGUUCUGCCCAGUUCUGCCCAGGCCCCACUGGAGAUGAAAACCUGCCCUUUAGAAGUCUUCAAACCCCACCUUUCAAAAUCUAAUCCUCUUCAACUGAGGCCCAAGUCCAAAAAUCUACUGACAUCUUAGCCCGCAUUAGACCAGCUGUCCCGCAGCCUUUUUGGCACCAGGAAUGGGUUUCAUGGAAGAAAAUUUUCUGGGGCUGGUUUUGAAUUGCAACUGUCCCACCUCAGGUCAGGUAUGGGAUCCUCAUAAGGAGCACCUCCGAGAUCCCUCACAUACAGUUUACAAUAGGUGCCUAGGAGAACAUGCGGCUUCUGAUAGGGCCCCGGCACCUAGGAAAACAUGCGGCUAUGAACAGGUAUUAUAUCUAGGAGAACAGGUAUGAAAUGAGUUGGUAAAGCCAAAAUCCACCCGAUCUACCACUCCAGAACAAACAUACACCACUGUCCAAUAUUGAUGUGAGCCAAAAACAUGGAAGUCCUGAGGGCCCAUACUGACCACAGCCAGACACCACUUCUGCAAGAAGCAAGCACGCGCCUAGAGAUCACCCGUGAUGACCCAGGAGAGCAGUUUGAGCAGAGACAAAUGUGAAAGAGAGGCACAUGGGCCAGGGUGCUGGGUGUGCCCGUCUUUGUGACCUCACUGAGAUUGCUGACCUCUAGCCCUUGGUGUCUGUCCUACGGAGGAGGUAGCCCCCAAAUCCCUGCCACCCUUCAGCACUGACUGAGGCGGCUCUGAAGUCUCCCCAGGACUGAGACUGUUUCUAAAUCCUGUUAACUGCACACCCA